UGGGAAUGUAAUAAUAUGAGUUUCUGACUAUUAUAAUAGGUACUAAUUAGUAAAGUAUCUUUCAGAUUUCCGACUAACGAAGAUGUAAGAAAAACAUGGCUCAAAUUAAUUAACUAAAUAUGCCACUUUAUGUAGCAAACAUUUUGAUAGUAAAUGUUUUCGAAAAAUUGGAGCCAGAAUCACGUUGAAAAAAUGUGCAAUCCCUACAGAGUUUGUUCCGAUGAAAGUAAAGCCUACACGCACAAUGUCGUCGUACGUGAACAGAGAUAUUUUACCAGAGGGAUCUACAUUAUCGUCUAGAUCUCCGCCGCCGACACCACAGCUUCAGAAUUAUCAUUUUUAUUUAUUGACUUACUCUUACUAAUUAGAAAUCAGAAAGUUUGUAUGGAUGUCUUGAUGUUUGUUGCUCUUUCAAUUAAAUCAGUUAAAUCAUUUUAAUCUUCUGAGUUUUAUUUUUAUUUUCCACUCUCCCAUAUACGGAUUGUAUAUGGACAUUCUAUCCUAUUUUAGUUCCAUUAAUAUUACUACUGUUAGGUGUUAAUUAAUAUAAAUCGAUAUCGAUAUUCAUG
Long non-coding RNA from Ostrinia furnacalis (Asian corn borer), 569 nucleotides. RefSeq lists it as uncharacterized. Lineage: Eukaryota; Metazoa; Arthropoda; Insecta; Lepidoptera; Crambidae. The record is from RefSeq and is a predicted model, not a curated record. The transcript is spliced from 2 exons.